RNAcentral lists this ribosomal RNA (274 nucleotides) under uncultured bacterium. RNAcentral's name for it is "partial 16S ribosomal RNA". It matches the Rfam family "Bacterial small subunit ribosomal RNA", at positions 523 to 796 of the family's 1533-position model. The record is from RNAcentral.
AUACGAAGGGGGCUAGCGUUGUUCGGAAUCACUGGGCGUAAAGCGCGCGUAGGUGGAUCAAUUAGUUGAGGGUGAAAUCCCGUGGCUCAACCUCGGAACUGCCUUCAAUACUGUUGAUCUUGAGAACGAGAGAGGUGAGUGGAAUUCCUAGUGUAGAGGUGAAAUUCGUAGAUAUUAGGAAGAACACCAGUGGCGAAGGCGGCUCACUGGCUCGGUACUGACGCUGAGGUGCGAAAGCGUGGGGAGCAAACAGGAUUAGAAACCCCAGUAGUCC